Molecule: ribosomal RNA, 366 nt
Filed under: Pelobates cultripes (western spadefoot toad)
Lineage: Eukaryota; Metazoa; Chordata; Amphibia; Anura; Pelobatidae
Description: SSU_rRNA_eukarya
Rfam family: Eukaryotic small subunit ribosomal RNA
Source: RNAcentral
ACAGUGGCUGUGUAGGUGGAAGCAGCGGUGGAGAAGGAGGAUGAGGUAGCCAACACUGGUUUAUAUAUAUAUAUAUUUUAAUUGGGGUAGCCAUCAAAAUAUUGGGACAUAUAAAAAAAGACAACUCUGUUCCGCAGAGUAGCUGUUGACAUUAUAGUUGCGCAGGCACUUCCCCGUGACGGCGACUUUGCAUUUGGAUGCCAUCCAUAUCAACUUUCGAUGCCAUUUUCUGCACCUACCAUGGUGACCACGAGUAACGGGGAAUCAGGGUUCCAUUCCGUACAGGGAUCCUGAGAAAUGGCUACCACGUGCAAGGAAGGCAGCAGGCGCGCAAAUGACCCACUCCCGAUGCGGGAAGGUAGUGAC